This 468-nucleotide ribosomal RNA is filed under the name uncultured bacterium. RNAcentral describes it as "partial 16S ribosomal RNA". It matches the Rfam family "Bacterial small subunit ribosomal RNA", at positions 28 to 507 of the family's 1533-position model. The record is from RNAcentral.
GACGAACGCUGGCGGCGUGCUUAACACAUGCAAGUCGAACGGAAAUGCCCUGCUUGUGUGGGGUGCUCGAGUGGCCAACUGGUGAGUAACAAGUGAGUAGCCUGCCCUUGACUUUGGGAUAACUUCAGGAAACUGGGGCUAAUACCGGGUAGGAGCUCCCGCUGCAUGGUGGGGGUUGGAAUGUUUCGGCGGUUGGGGAUGGACUGGCGGCUGAUCAGCUUGUUGGUGGGGUAGUGGCUUAGCAAGGCUUUGACGGGUAGCCUGCCUGACAGGGUGGCAGGACACGUCAGGACUGAGAUGCGGCCCAGACCAAACCGGGAGGGGGGGGUGGAGUAGAGAGCACAGUGGGAGGAGGCAAAAUGCGACAACGCCGCGUGCGGGAUAACAGGCUUCGGUUCGUAACCCACAUUCGCCUGUGACGAAGCGUGAGUGACGGUAAUAGGUAAAGAAGCACCGGCUAACUACGUG